Molecule: ribosomal RNA, 407 nt
Filed under: uncultured bacterium
Lineage: Bacteria
Description: bacterial SSU rRNA
Rfam family: Bacterial small subunit ribosomal RNA
Source: RNAcentral
UAGGGAAUAUUGGGCAAUGGGCGAAAGCCUGACCCAGCAACGCCGCGUGAAGGAAGAAGGUCUUCGGAUUGUAAACUUCUGUUGCAAGGGAAAAAGAAAGUGAUGGUACCUUGCGAGGAAGCUACGGCAAACUAUGUGCCAGCAGCCGCGGUAAUACAUAGGUAGCGAGCGUUAUCCGGAAUAACUGGGCGUAAAGGGAGUGUAGGUGGCAGUAUAAGUUAGAUGUGAAAGACCAUGGCUCAACCAUGGAAAUGCAUUUAAUACUGUAUUGCUUGAGUAUGAUAGAGGUAAACGGAAUUUCUAGUGUAGCGGUUAAAUGCGUAGAGAUUAGGAAGAACACCAGAGGCGAAAGCGGUUUACUAGGUCAAUACUGACACUGAGGCUCGAAAGCGUGGGGAGCAAACAGG